RNAcentral lists this ribosomal RNA (393 nucleotides) under uncultured bacterium. RNAcentral's name for it is "partial 16S ribosomal RNA". It matches the Rfam family "Bacterial small subunit ribosomal RNA", at positions 523 to 918 of the family's 1533-position model. The record is from RNAcentral.
AUACGGAAGGUCCGGGCGUUAUCCGGAUUUAUUGGGUUUAAAGGGAGCGCAGGCGGAGAUGCAAGCGUGACGUCAAAUUUCGGGGCUCAACCCCGUCUCGCGUCGCGAACUGCGUCCCUUGGUUGCGGGAAGGGGAGGCGGAACUCGUGGUGUAGCGGUGAAAUGCAUAGAUAUCACGAAGAACUCCGAUCGCGAAGGCAGCCUGCCGGCCCGUCAACGACGCUCAUGCUCGAAGGUGCGGGUAUCAAACAGGAGUAGAUACCCUGGUAGUCCGCACAGUAAACGAUGGACACCCGCGGUUUGGCCUGUAUGGCUGAGCCGCCAAGCGAAAGCGUUAAGUGUCCCACCUGGGGAGUACGCCGGCAACGGUGAAACUCAAAUGAAUUGACGGGG